This 442-nucleotide ribosomal RNA is filed under the name Methanocorpusculaceae archaeon UBA456. Its description in RNAcentral is "bacterial SSU rRNA". It matches the Rfam family "Archaeal small subunit ribosomal RNA", at positions 1024 to 1467 of the family's 1478-position model. Lineage: Archaea; Methanobacteriati; Methanobacteriota; Methanomicrobia; Methanomicrobiales; Methanocorpusculaceae. The record is from RNAcentral.
UCCUGUUAAGUCAGGCAACGAGCGAGACCCACGCCAACAGUUGCCAGCAUGAUCUCCGGAUUGAUGGGGACACUGUUGGGACCGCCUCUGCUAAAGGGGAGGAAGGAAUGGGCAACGGUAGGUCAGCAUGCCCCGAAUUAUCCGGGCUACACGCGGGCUACAAUGGAUGGGACAAUGGGUUUCGACACCGAAAGGUGAAGGUAAUCUCCUAACCCCACCCGUAGUUCGGAUUGCGGGCUGCAACUCGCCCGCAUGAAGCUGGAAUCCGUAGUAAUCGCGUCUCACGAUGGCGCGGUGAAUAUGUCCCUGCUCCUUGCACACACCGCCCGUCAAACCACCCGAGUGGGGUCUGGAUGAGGCGGCAGUUUACGCUGCUGUCGAAUCUAGGUUCCGCAAGGGGGGUUAAGUCGUAACAAGGUAGCCGUAGGGGAAUCUGCGGCUG